This is a long non-coding RNA of Tympanuchus pallidicinctus (lesser prairie-chicken), 1150 nucleotides long. RefSeq lists it as uncharacterized. The record is from RefSeq and is a predicted model, not a curated record. NCBI's taxonomy places the organism in Eukaryota, Metazoa, Chordata, Aves, Galliformes, Phasianidae. The transcript is spliced from 4 exons.
CGAAUUCGGGAGCUCGUAGCUAAGUCUUGUCUCUGUGCACCAGACCUACUCGUCUGUUAACACACCUCCAGGGAUAGUGACCCCAGUGCCUCCAUGGGCAGCCCGUGCCAACGCUUUGCAGCCCUCCGUGUGGAAAAAGUUUUACUACUGUCCUGUCUGACUCUCCCCAGGCACAAUGUGAGGCCGUAACCUUAAAAAAAAAAAAAAGAUUCCCUUGGGGAAGGGGAAGCCGUGCACCUCCUUUGGAGCACUUUCUCGCAGGCCGUGCUGUGAGAAGAACCGCAGUGCAGUGCGGAGGUUUCAGAGAUGUGCCCGGAGCAGAAGUUUGUACAGCUGCCAGCCCUUCCUGGUGGGUUUCCAGGCAGGAGCAAAGAAAUGGCUGCUGAGAUACAUUACGUGGAAUGGGAACCUGGACUACCUCCUGCACAAAGCUGCUGAGGAAAAGCAUACGACUUAGAGACUUCUGAGUUUCCAUGUGGCACUUUGUGAAAUUUCUGGAGCUGGAAGUCAAACACCAGUGCCAACUCUGCAGCCACAGGGCGCUCCCAGGAUGGUCUGACAGUUUCUUUGUUCCAUUCACAACGUUGGAAUUAUGGGAUUUGUGUGGGAAGAACUGACUUGAUGGAGGAAGUGAAAAUUAACUCCAGAUUGUCUGGACAUCCAGAAGCCCUGAGGAUUUCAGGAGUUCCAAAGGCUGAGGAUGUUUGUAGACUAAACAACUGCGGCUCAUUUGCAUCAAAUGAGAAAAGUAGUUUUCCUCCUUCAGAGUAACAGGUAAACAAUAAAGCAAUUUAAGCAAUACCAUAGUAACAGUAUUUGGAGACAAAAACUGGUUAAAACUUCAAUGUUUGUCAUAUAGCUGUGUGAACUUGUUAAUAAAACAUCUCUGCAUAUAUCCCCCCCACCCCAGUAAAACACCACAUAACUUCUGUCAUGAGAAAGCAUAAAAACAGCAGUUCUGCAUCUGCUCUCAGGAACAAGAAGGAUGCCAGUAUAUUCAGAUUACUGAAUUAACUUUUGAAAUUGAAGUUCUGUACUAAGCAGAAGAGAUCUAACCCUUACUUAGAAAAAGAGAAUUGUUUUCCUGUCACAUCUCUGAAAAACGAAACCCACCCCCACUAUUUAUCCUUUCAGCAUUUCUUUUUGGAUU